AUUGAACGCUAGCGGGAUGCUUUACACAUGCAAGUCGAACGGCAGCGCGGACUUCGGUCUGGCGGCGAGUGGCGAACGGGUGAGUAAUGUAUCGGAACGUGCCCAGUAGCGGGGGAUAACUACGCGAAAGCGUAGCUAAUACCGCAUACGCCCUACGGGGGAAAGCAGGGGAUCGUAAGACCUUGCACUAUUGGAGCGGCCGAUAUCGGAUUAGCUAGUUGGCGAGGUAACGGCUCACCAAGGCGACGAUCCGUAGCUGGUUUGAGAGGACGACCAGCCACACUGGGACUGAGACACGGCCCAGACUCCUACGGGAGGCAGCAGUGGGGAAUUUUGGACAAUGGGGGCAACCCUGAUCCAGCCAUCCCGCGUGUGCGAUAAAGGCCUUCGGGUUGUAAAGCACUUUUGGCAGGAAAGAAACGUCGCGGGCUAAUACCCCGUGGAACUGACGGUACCUGCAGAAUAAGCACCGGCUAACUACGUG
RNAcentral lists this ribosomal RNA (484 nucleotides) under uncultured bacterium. RNAcentral describes it as "partial 16S ribosomal RNA". It matches the Rfam family "Bacterial small subunit ribosomal RNA", at positions 30 to 507 of the family's 1533-position model. The record is from RNAcentral.